This 658-nucleotide ribosomal RNA is filed under the name Escherichia coli. RNAcentral's name for it is "partial 23S ribosomal RNA". It matches the Rfam family "Bacterial large subunit ribosomal RNA", at positions 168 to 867 of the family's 2925-position model. The record is from RNAcentral. Lineage: Bacteria; Pseudomonadati; Pseudomonadota; Gammaproteobacteria; Enterobacterales; Enterobacteriaceae.
AGGUUAAUGAGGCGAACCGGGGGAACUGAAACAUCUAAGUACCCCGAGGAAAAGAAAUCAACCGAGAUUCCCCCAGUAGCGGCGAGCGAACGGGGAGCAGCCCAGAGCCUGAAUCAGUGUGUGUGUUAGUGGAAGCGUCUGGAAAGGCGCGCGAUACAGGGUGACAGCCCCGUACACAAAAAUGCACAUGCUGUGAGCUCGAUGAGUAGGGCGGGACACGUGGUAUCCUGUCUGAAUAUGGGGGGACCAUCCUCCAAGGCUAAAUACUCCUGACUGACCGAUAGUGAACCAGUACCGUGAGGGAAAGGCGAAAAGAACCCCGGCGAGGGGAGUGAAAAAGAACCUGAAACCGUGUACGUACAAGCAGUGGGAGCACGCUUAGGCGUGUGACUGCGUACCUUUUGUAUAAUGGGUCAGCGACUUAUAUUCUGUAGCAAGGUUAACCGAAUAGGGGAGCCGAAGGGAAACCGAGUCUUAACUGGGCGUUAAGUUGCAGGGUAUAGACCCGAAACCCGGUGAUCUAGCCAUGGGCAGGUUGAAGGUUGGGUAACACUAACUGGAGGACCGAACCGACUAAUGUUGAAAAAUUAGCGGAUGACUUGUGGCUGGGGGUGAAAGGCCAAUCAAACCGGGAGAUAGCUGGUUCUCCCCGAAAGCU